GUGGGGAAUUUUGGACAAUGGGCGCAAGCCUGAUCCAGCAAUGCCGCGUGCAGGAAGAAGGCCUUCGGGUUGUAAACUGCUUUUGUACGGAACGAAACGGUCCGGGUUAAUACCCUGGGCUAAUGACGGUACCGUAAGAAUAAGCACCGGCUAACUACGUGCCAGCAGCCGCGGUAAUACGUAGGGUGCAAGCGUUAAUCGGAAUUAAUGGGCGUAAAGCGUGCGCAGGCGGCUUUGUAAGACAGGCGUGAAAUCCCCGGGCUCAACCUGGGGAUUGAGAGUGUGACUGCAAGGCUGGAGUGCGGCAGAGGGGGAUGGAAUUCAGCGUGUAGCAGUGAAAUGCGUAGAUAUGCGGAGGAACACCGAUGGCGAAGGCAAUCCCCUGGGCCUGCACUGACGCUCAUGCACGAAAGCGUGGGGAGCAAACAGGAUUAGAUACCCUGGUAGUCC
Molecule: ribosomal RNA, 450 nt
Filed under: uncultured bacterium
Lineage: Bacteria
Description: bacterial SSU rRNA
Rfam family: Bacterial small subunit ribosomal RNA
Source: RNAcentral